Molecule: transfer RNA, 65 nt
Filed under: Thesaurus zaitsevi
Lineage: Eukaryota; Metazoa; Arthropoda; Insecta; Coleoptera; Cucujidae
Description: tRNA-Asn
Source: RNAcentral
UUAAUUGAAACCAAAAAGAGGUAUGUCACUGUUAAUGACAGAAAUGGACUCCACUCCCAAUUAAA